UUUUUGCACAGAACAUGUUCUACACUAGUUCUCUCAGCUGGCUGUGGCUCAUAUUUGCUGGUGAACCAUAGUCAUGAGUUCCGGCUGAUUGGCUGAACCACUGUACCAGUGACACACUUGUGCACCAUUACAGUGUUGCCAGAUGUGUUUGUGCACCAUCACCACGUACUCCGCUAUGUACAUGCACAGUCAUGGUGUUAGCAGUUGUGUAUGCACUAUACAAAGACGUAGACAGCUGUAUACUUGCACCAUCAUGAUGUACAUAAGCUGUGUACGUGUGCCAACAUGAUGUCCACAGCUAUGUACAAUACCAUGAUGUACCCAGCCGUGCACAUAUAUUGUUGUAUGGUAGCUAUCUGUAUGGGUACAGUACCCUGUACAUAGUAUGGGUGUAUCACUGAUUUGUAUCCAGUCAUAUGUAUCCCACUGCAAUGUACAUGGCUGUAUACAUCCAAUAAUGUACACAGCCCUGUAUGUGCUUCUCUGUGAUGUAAGUAGCUAUGUAUGUACGUCACUGAAAAAUGGCAGGUUUUGUAUGCGCACCUUUGCAUAGUAACUUGCAACCUUUGUACAUCAGCACAAUGAUAGUUACAGUGCGAAUAAGUGCUUUGGUCAGCCCCGUGCACGUUCAAGUGUACUACGACGAGCAGUGUACAAGCAGGAAAUACAUCACCGUAGUCAGAUGUGUACAUGCAGCACUUCCCUGAGGGUGAUGUACUUUCAGUCAGUUCUGUACCUCAAGCAUCAUGUCGAGCUGCAUCAAUAGAGAAGAUUCGAUCAGUGUUUUGGGAAGAAAUUCUGAAGCAAGUCAAGCCACGGCAGCUUCUCAAGACAUCACGUCAGACUUAGAGGCUGAGCCAGUCUCUUCGCCGCCCCAACACCUCACCAUGACGGUCACCAAAGUAUUUUCAUAAUGAUACAGAAUUCCCCUCUAACCUGUCUCUCAGUUUCCUGUACCGAGCCCCUUUUCCCUUCCCACACACCUUGCUCUCCUCACUCUUUGGUCUUACUAACCUCCCUUGUCCUUCCUUUCACCUCUUUCCCUUCAUAUUCACUCAACGUCGCCUCAUUCGACACAUAUAUCAUUAGAAUCUUUCCCCUUUUUAGCUGAUUCCUCUAAUCUCGGCUCCCUUCUCGUGGUCCCUUUCUCCCAAAUCUUGCCGGUUCCUUGACCACACAGUCUUAGCACGUUACCUAGUACAAAUCUCUCAACCUAUGGUGUCUGACUCCUUUGUUGCUUCCACGCCGUUCCUCUCACUCCCACGAUGUCUUAAAUACGUAUGUCACUUCUUUCAAACAUUUUGCUUGCGCCGUUCCUUAAUAUUCACCGUUUUCGUCAUAUUCACCUGCUUUAUGAACAUACUUACUCAUCAUGCACAUCGCGGCUACUUCUUCUUAUAUAUCUAUUGCACCUCAAGCACCUGUCCCUCCCGCAAAUGCGCCUACUCCUGUCGACUCAUUUGAGCCCCUUGCCUGACUUAUGAAACGCUUCCGCUUACAAUGAGAGUGACUUGUUCCGUGCUGAACUUCCUCGUUAUCACGUGUAAUGGCGUGUCGUGCUUAUCAGUCCUCCCGCGAGAAAAUAAUUUUGACUGAUUAAUACCCUGCUAACAGCUUCCACUUUGUUCCACCCUUCACCCUUGUCACCCACAUCGUGACUCAUCCGUCACCCUGCCAUUAUCACCCUCCAGCUUCAUCUAGGACUUGUUCGAUUUCUUUAUUGCGCCUUCCUUCCCCCAUCGACAUUGCACUUCCUUCAUUACUGUAUAUGCGUUGAUUUCAGUCUUCGUUUCUGAUGAUCUUCUAGGUAUAUUACUAACUUUCUGGUUAACGAUGGUACGUCAGAUUCUGGCAGGCAGAUUUAGCUAUGCACAUGAAUAUUUUUACACUAGUUGUUAAGAAGAUUGUUCCAGCUACCUUUAUUUCGACUUGACUUUCGUCUGACAAAAAGCAGACUUAAAUAGUAAUAAAAAUCAUAACAAAAGUUGUGUGGCAAUUCUGGUUCACCACCACUGUAUUCCUCGUUUAGCGUAGAUGCAAUGCAGUCAUUAUACAGGCAAGGCAGAUAUUAUUCUGAAUGCUAUUAUUCCCAAAUGAGCUUUUGGCCACUAGAGAAUAUCAGUUAGUUUACACAAAUACAACCAGAAAAGUUGUAAGUGACAGAGCUCUGUGUAGUGUAGCAUCAUCUGUCACGUUGUUAACUUGGCUGCUAUGGCAGUCUAUUCUUCUCACUCUACCAUUGUCCUUUUAUGCACAAAUUAUGUUUCCUUGUUCAACGUAGUUUAUAAGAAAAUCCUUUUCCAUAAACUGGGAUGAAGA
Penaeus monodon (black tiger shrimp) is the source of this 2319-nucleotide long non-coding RNA. RefSeq lists it as uncharacterized. The record is from RefSeq and is a predicted model, not a curated record. NCBI's taxonomy places the organism in Eukaryota, Metazoa, Arthropoda, Malacostraca, Decapoda, Penaeidae. The transcript is spliced from 2 exons.